RNAcentral lists this ribosomal RNA (424 nucleotides) under uncultured bacterium. RNAcentral describes it as "bacterial SSU rRNA". It matches the Rfam family "Bacterial small subunit ribosomal RNA", at positions 917 to 1341 of the family's 1533-position model. The record is from RNAcentral.
GGGCCCGCACAAGCAGUGGAGCAUGUGGUUUAAUUCGAUGCAACGCGAAGAACCUUACCAGGCCUUGACAUCCUCGGAACAAUCUAGAGAUAGAUUGGUGCCUUCGGGAACCAAGAUACAGGUGCUGCAUGGCUGUCGUCAGCUCGUGUCGUGAGAUGUUCCGUUAAGUCGGAUAACGAGCGCAACCCUUACCCUUAUUUGCCAGCGAUUCGGUCGGGAACUAUAAGGGGACUGCCGGUGAUAAACCGGAGGAAGGUGAGGACGACGUCAAGUCAUCAUGGCCCUUACGAGUAGGGCUACACACGUGCUACAAUGGGGAAUACAGACGGACGCUAAGCCGUGAGGUGGUGCUAAUCCUAGAAAGUUUCUCGUAGUCCGGAUUGGAGUCUGCAACUCGACUCCAUGAAGUCGGAAUCGCUAGUAA